CCUACGGGUGGCAGCAGUGAGGAAUAUUGGUCAAUGGACGGAAGUCUGAACCAGCCAUGCCGCGUGCAGGAUGACUGCCCUAUGAGUUGUAAACUUCUUUUGUACAGGGGUAAACCUGAAUACGUGUAUUCCGCUGAAAGUACUUUACGAAUAAGGAUCGGCUAACUCCGUGCCAGCAGCCGCGGUAAUACGGAGGAUCCAAGCGUUAUCCGGAUUUAUUGGGUUUAAAGGGUGCGUAGGCGGAUUGAUAAGUUAGAUGUGAAAUGUCCGAGCUUAACUCGGGAACUGCCUCUAAUACUGGUGAUCUAGAGAGUAGAUGAGGUAGGCGGAAUGUAUGGUGUAGCGGUGAAAUGCUUAGAGAUCAUGCAGAACACCGAUUGCGAAGGCAGCUUACUGAUCUAUAUCUGACGUUGAGGCACGAAAGCGUGGGGAGCAAACAGGAUUAGAUACCCCUGUAGUC
RNAcentral lists this ribosomal RNA (460 nucleotides) under uncultured bacterium. RNAcentral's name for it is "partial 16S ribosomal RNA". It matches the Rfam family "Bacterial small subunit ribosomal RNA", at positions 338 to 795 of the family's 1533-position model. The record is from RNAcentral.